RNAcentral lists this ribosomal RNA (497 nucleotides) under uncultured bacterium. Its description in RNAcentral is "partial 16S ribosomal RNA". It matches the Rfam family "Bacterial small subunit ribosomal RNA", at positions 28 to 507 of the family's 1533-position model. The record is from RNAcentral.
GAUGGACGCUGGCGACGUGCUUAAUACAUGCAAGUCGAGCGAAAAGACGCGGCGCUUGCUCCUCUGACGUUAGCGGCGGACGGGUGAGUAACACGUGGAUACCCUCCCUAUCAGACUGGGAUAACUUCGGGAAACCGGAGCUAAUACCGGAUAAUCUCUUGAACCGCAUGGUUCAAUAGUGAAAGACGGUUUUGCUGUCACUAAUAGAUGGUUCCGCGCCGCAUUAGCUAGUUGGUAAGGUAACGGCUUACCAAGGCAACGAUGCGUAGCCGACCUGAGAGGGUGAUCGGCCACACUGGAACUGAGACACGGACCAGGCUCCUACGGGAGGCAGCAGUAGGGAAUCGUCCGCAAUAGGCGAAGGCUUGACGGAGCAACGCCGCGUGAGUUAUGAAGAUCUUCGGAUCGUAAAACUCUGUUAUUAGGGAAGAACAAAUGUGUAAGUAACUAUGCACGGCUUGACGGUACCUAAUCAGAAAGCCACGGCUAACUACGUG